RNAcentral lists this unclassified non-coding RNA (257 nucleotides) under Hevea brasiliensis (rubber tree). The record is from RNAcentral. Lineage: Eukaryota; Viridiplantae; Streptophyta; Magnoliopsida; Malpighiales; Euphorbiaceae.
GUUUUUAAAUUUGGGAGUUUGAUUGGUUUUUCAGCUGUAUGGUCAUUUUCCGGCAGUGUUCGCCGGAGCUCCGGCGAGAAUUUGAGGUGGGUUUUUUGGGAAAAUGUGUUAAUUGAGGGUUAAAAGUGGAAAAAAAUGUUCAAGUCUUCGAGAUGGAGGAGCGAGAAGAACAAGAUCAAAGCUGUAUUCAAGUUGCAAUUUCAUGCAACUCAGGUAAAAGGAGAUGCAUUAAUGGUAUCUGUGGUCCCUGCCGAUGU